AUUCUGUAUGUGCUGCCGCCUUUCUUAGUUCCUUGUUGCUCAAGAUCGGUGGGUAAUCUCAAAGCAAUCGGCUCAGUUCCUUCUCGUUGCUUAAGGUUGGUGGGUAAUCUCAAAAGAGAUUGGCUGAUGGCGACCCUCCCUGGCUACCUAUUAGCUGCAAUUGUUGAUAUCUUGGAAUGAAGCAGUCAAUCUGGGCACUGUGUUCUGGCUAUCCUGAAUCUUUUGCUGAUGAGUGUAGAUAGACUUUGCAUGUUGACAUUAACAGUGAGCUGUUGGCGAGAUUAGUUUGUGUUGUAAGUGGAGAAGAAGUGAAAUGGGACUCUUUCAGCGUGUCCCCCAUGCGGGGAGUCUCUUCAUAGAUAUGUAAAAUUGAUAACACAUAUUUAUUCGGACUUGCUGAGUUUUGAUCCUCCAACAAGAUUUGUGCUGUUGUCGAUAGAAUUGUAAGAGCUAUGUUGUGUUAUGAGCUAUGUUGCUAGUUUUUCUUUCCUUUUGAAUCUAGUUGUUUCUACGUGAUGGUCAUUUC
Molecule: long non-coding RNA, 526 nt
Filed under: Hordeum vulgare
Lineage: Eukaryota; Viridiplantae; Streptophyta; Magnoliopsida; Poales; Poaceae
Description: long non-coding RNA (HVUL_LNC013090)
Source: RNAcentral